UUCCGGUUGAUCCUGCCGGAGGCCAUUGCUAUCGGAGUUCGAUUUAGCCAUGCUAGUCGCACGAGUUCAUACUCGUGGCAGAUAGCUCAGUGACACGUGGCCAAACUACCCUAUGGAUCAGAACAACCUCGGGAAACUGAGGCUAAUUCUGAAUAAGGCUCCUCGCCUGGAAUGGCACGAGCUGGAAAUGCUACGGCGCCAUAGGAUGUGGCUGCGGCCGAUUAGGUAGACGGUGGGGUAACGGCCCACCGUGCCCAUAAUCGGUACGGGUUGUGAGAGCAAGAGCCCGGAGACGGUAUCUGAGACAAGAUACCGGGCCCUACGGGGCGCAGCAGGCGCGAAAACUUUACACUGCACGACAGUGCGAUAAGGGAACUCCGAGUGCGAGGGCAUAUCGUCCUCGCUUUUCUGUACCGUAGGGAGGUACAGGAAUAAGAGCUGGGCAAGACCGGUGCCAGCCGCCGCGGUAACACCGGCAGCUCGAGUGAUGGCCGAUAUUAUUGGGCCUAAAGCGUCCGUAGCCAGCUGAACAGGUCCGUCGGGAAAUCUGCUCGCUCAACGAGCAGGCGUCCGGCGGAAACCAGUCAGCUUGGGAUCGGAAGACCCGAGGGGUACGUCUGGGGUAGGAGUGAAAUCCCGUAAUCCUGGACGGACCACCGGUGGCGAAAGCGCCUCGGGAAGACGAAUCCGACGGUGAGGGACGAAAGCUAGGGUCACGAACCGGAUUAGAUACCCGGGUAGUCCUAGCCGUAAACGAUGCUCACUAGGUGUGGCACUGGCUACGAGCCAGUGCUGUGCCGUAGGGAAGCCGUGAAGUGAGCCGCCUGGGAAGUACGUCCGCAAGGAUGAAACUUAAAGGAAUUGGCGGGGGAGCACUACAACCGGAGGAGCCUGCGGUUUAAUUGGACUCAACGCCGGU
This 919-nucleotide ribosomal RNA is filed under the name uncultured archaeon. Its description in RNAcentral is "bacterial SSU rRNA". It matches the Rfam family "Archaeal small subunit ribosomal RNA", at positions 1 to 922 of the family's 1478-position model. The record is from RNAcentral.